AUACGUAGGGGGCGAGCGUUGUCCGGAAUGAUUGGGCGUAAAGGGCGCGUAGGCGGCGCGGUAAGUCUGGAGUGAAAGUCCUGCUUUCAAGGUGGGAAUUGCUUUGGAUACUGCCGCGCUUGAGUGCAGGAGAGGUUAUCGGAAUUCCCGGUGUAGCGGUAAAAUGCGUAGAGAUCGGGAGGAACACCAGUGGCGAAGGCGGGUAACUGGACUGCAACUGACGCUGAGGCGCGAAAGUGUGGGGAGCAAACAGGAUUAGAUACCCUGGUAGUCCACACUGUAAACGAUGAAUGCUAGGUGUAGGGGGUAUCGACCCCUUCUGUGCCGCAGUCAACACAAUAAGCAUUCCGCCUGGGGAGUACGGCCGCAAGGUUGAAACUCAAAGGAAUUGACGGGG
RNAcentral lists this ribosomal RNA (397 nucleotides) under uncultured bacterium. RNAcentral describes it as "partial 16S ribosomal RNA". It matches the Rfam family "Bacterial small subunit ribosomal RNA", at positions 523 to 918 of the family's 1533-position model. The record is from RNAcentral.